This 368-nucleotide long non-coding RNA is filed under the name Ananas comosus (pineapple). Its description in RNAcentral is "long non-coding RNA (ACOM_LNC043030)". The record is from RNAcentral. Lineage: Eukaryota; Viridiplantae; Streptophyta; Magnoliopsida; Poales; Bromeliaceae.
UACUCAAUUUAGACCCAACCCAUAUCAGAUCCGUACCUAGGGAUGUCACGGGUCGGAUUCAGAGUAAAUUUUCAAAAAACUAAAUCUAAACCUAACUACCAAACCCGAAACCGAAUCUAAACCCAAUCCGACGGAUUUUAAAAAUCUAUAUCCAAACACGACCACGUCCGAAUCUAAAUUCGUCGAGUUUUCGUUUUUUAUAUUCAUAUCCAAAACUAUAUCCAUUUAGAAUCGAAUAAAUUCGUUCUUUUCGGAUUUGGUUUCAGAUAAAAUUUUGAAUAUUCGUAAGUGUGGACAUCCUUAUCCAUACUUGAUCUUAUGUGGGCAAUCACUAUUCAGAUUCGUUCAAAUAGACCCAAUAGGUGCAU